Molecule: ribosomal RNA, 230 nt
Filed under: uncultured bacterium
Lineage: Bacteria
Description: partial 16S ribosomal RNA
Rfam family: Bacterial small subunit ribosomal RNA
Source: RNAcentral
UGGGCAACCUGCCCUCAGCUCUGGGAUAACUCCGGGAAACCGGGGCUAAUACCGGAUACGACCUUCCCUCGCAUGGGGGUUGUUGGAAAGUUCUUCGGCUGAGGAUGGGCCCGCGGCCUAUCAGCUUGUUGGUGGGGUGAUGGCCUACCAAGGCGACGACGGGUAGCCGGCCUGAGAGGGCGACCGGCCACACUGGGACUGAGACACGGCCCAGACUCCUACGGGAGGCA